Molecule: transfer RNA, 73 nt
Filed under: Treponema sp.
Lineage: Bacteria; Pseudomonadati; Spirochaetota; Spirochaetia; Treponematales; Treponemataceae
Description: tRNA-Thr
Rfam family: tRNA
About the family: Transfer RNA (tRNA) molecules are approximately 80 nucleotides in length. Their secondary structure includes four short double-helical elements and three loops (D, anti-codon, and T loops). Further hydrogen bonds mediate the characteristic L-shaped molecular structure. tRNAs have two regions of fundamental functional importance: the anti-codon, which is responsible for specific mRNA codon recognition, and the 3' end, to which the tRNAs corresponding amino acid is attached (by aminoacyl-tRNA synthetases). tRNAs cope with the degeneracy of the genetic code in two manners: having more than one tRNA (with a specific anti-codon) for a particular amino acid; and 'wobble' base-pairing, i.e. permitting non-standard base-pairing at the 3rd anti-codon position.
Source: RNAcentral
GCCAAGAUGGCUCAGUCGGUAGAGCGGCGCACUCGUAAUGCGCAGGUCGGGGGUUCAAUUCCCCCUCUUGGCU